This 193-nucleotide unclassified non-coding RNA is filed under the name soil metagenome. Its description in RNAcentral is "partial contains 5.8S ribosomal RNA, internal transcribed spacer 2, and large subunit ribosomal RNA". The record is from RNAcentral.
AACGCACGAGACCUGCGGACCUGCGGAAGGAUCAUUACCGAGCGUUGGUUUUUCCGAAAACCGCCUCCCGUCCUAUGCCUUUCGAAAAUUGAUUUGUUUCGGUGGGGGUACCCGCCGAAAGUUAGUUAUAAUCCACUGAAAAUUGGUGAAUCCGAGUCAAAGGAAUAAAAAAAACUUUCAACAACGGAUCUCU